This 357-nucleotide ribosomal RNA is filed under the name Ectinorhynchus sp. LRC-2002. Its description in RNAcentral is "partial 28S ribosomal RNA". The record is from RNAcentral. Lineage: Eukaryota; Metazoa; Arthropoda; Insecta; Diptera; Therevidae.
AACUGCUUAGAGGUUAAGCCCGAUGAACCUAAAUAUCCAAUGUGAAAAAUUCAUCACUAAUGAUAUAUUAUAUUUAAUAUAUAAAUAGUGUGCAAUUUUUUCAUAUAAGGACAUUGUAAUCUGUUAAUAUAAUAUAAAAUUUAUCAUAAGUACUGCUUGGAUAGUUUAUUUUUAUUUAAUUUUUAUAAUUAUAUAUUAAUAAAAUCCAAUUUAAAUGCGGCUACGGAUAAAUUAUUGACAGAUUUUUUAUAUAACGCUUACAUUUUAUAUGUUAUAAUAAAAUAAUAAUUUAUUUAUUAUUUUUAUUAUAUGCGUUUAUAUGAUUAACAAUGCUAUAGAUUUAGGAUACCUUCGGGA